This 140-nucleotide ribosomal RNA is filed under the name Pseudomonas protegens. Lineage: Bacteria; Pseudomonadati; Pseudomonadota; Gammaproteobacteria; Pseudomonadales; Pseudomonadaceae. The record is from RNAcentral.
CUUGACGACCAUAGAGCGUUGGAACCACCUGAUCCCAUCCCGAACUCAGAAGUGAAACGAUGCAUCGCCGAUGGUAGUGUGGGGUUUCCCCAUGUGAGAGUAGGUCAUCGUCAAGAUUAAAUUCCGAAACCCCAACUGCA